GACGAACGCUGGCGGCGUGCCUAAUACAUGCAGGUAGAACGCUGAAGGAGGAGCUUGCUCUUCUGGAUGAGUUGCGAACGGGUGAGUAACGCGUAGGUAACCUGCCUGGUAGCGGGGGAUAACUAUUGGAAACGAUAGCUAAUACCGCAUAACAGUAGAUGUUGCAUGACAUUUGCUUAAAAGGUGCAAUUGCACCACUACCAGAUGGACCUGCGUUGUAUUAGCUAGUUGGUGGGGUAACGGCUCACCAAGGCGACGAUACAUAGCCGACCUGAGAGGGUGAUCGGCCACACUGGGACUGAGACACGGCCCAGACUCCUACGGGAGGCAGCAGUGGGAAUCUUCGGCAAUGGACGGAAGUCUGACCGAGCAACGCCGCGGGAGUGAAGAAGGUUUUCGGAUCGUAAAGCUCUGUUGUAAGAGAAGAACGAGUGUGAGAGUGGAAAGUUCACACUGUGACGGUAUCUUACCAGAAAGGGACGGCUAACUACGUG
RNAcentral lists this ribosomal RNA (494 nucleotides) under uncultured bacterium. RNAcentral's name for it is "partial 16S ribosomal RNA". It matches the Rfam family "Bacterial small subunit ribosomal RNA", at positions 28 to 507 of the family's 1533-position model. The record is from RNAcentral.